AUGGUUUUCUGGAAGAACCUGGCCUUGGGCAUUUCUCACAGGAGAGGGAUCAGCUUCCAGCUGCACCCGGCGUCUGCGAGGAGCUUAGAGAGAGGGGGGCAGGGACCCCAAACACCCAUGGACUCUGCCUGGUGGGGGUCAAUGCACCAUGGGGAAACAAUUCUGUCUUUCGACACAUUUACUAAAUGAAACACCAUUUGCUCAGCAGAUGCCCACAUCCUGGAGAUGGUGUUGGAGGAGCCAGAGAAGCAACUUCCUUCUGAAACGUCCGGACUCAGGUCUGACCUUCGGAGCCAGGGAACAACAUCACACAGCUGCUCAGGUGUCGCCUGCCUCCAUCCUCACGGCUGCAUAACGAGCAUCCCCGAGCCGAGGGCCGUGAAGCAGCAGCAACGAUUCAGUCGUGGCCUCUGCAGUUCCCGGGCUGCUUGGCUGGUGGAGCGUGUCAUCUCAGGGUUCCUCACGCGGUGGCGGUCACUGUGGCCGGGUCAUCUCUGGCUUCUCUGCUCCCACAUCUGGAGGCUGAAGCUGGCUUUCACUUGCUGGUGCUGCUG
RNAcentral lists this long non-coding RNA (554 nucleotides) under Equus caballus (horse). RNAcentral's name for it is "lncRNA (ENSECAG00000044137.1)". Lineage: Eukaryota; Metazoa; Chordata; Mammalia; Perissodactyla; Equidae. The record is from RNAcentral.